Molecule: ribosomal RNA, 466 nt
Filed under: uncultured ammonia-oxidizing beta proteobacterium
Lineage: Bacteria; Pseudomonadati; Pseudomonadota; Betaproteobacteria
Description: bacterial SSU rRNA
Rfam family: Bacterial small subunit ribosomal RNA
Source: RNAcentral
GGAGGAAAGCAGGGGAUCGUAAGACCUUGCGCUUUUGGAGUGGCCGACGCCUGAUUAGCUAGUUGGUGGGGUAAGGGCCUACCAAGGCAACGAUCAGUAGUUGGUCUGAGAGGACGACCAGCCACACUGGGACUGAGACACGGCCCAGACUCCUACGGGAGGCAGCAGUGGGGAAUUUUGGACAAUGGGCGAAAGCCUGAUCCAGCAAUGCCGCGUGAGUGAAGAAGGCCUUCGGGUUGUAAAGCUCUUUCAGUCGAGAAGAAAAGGUUGUGACUAAUAAUCACAACUUAUGACGGUACCGACAGAAGAAGCACCGGCUAACUACGUGCCAGCAGCCGCGGUAAUACGUAGGGUGCGAGCGUUAAUCGGAAUUACUGGGCGUAAAGGGUGCGCAGGCGGCUUUGUAAGUCAGAUGUGAAAUCCCCGGGCUUAACCUGGGAAUUGCGUUUGAAACUACAAAGCUAGA